CCUACGGGCGGCUGCAGUGGGGAAUAUUGGACAAUGGGGGGAACCCUGAUCCAGCCAUGCCGCGUGUGUGAAGAAGGCCCUCGGGUUGUAAAGCACUUUCAGUGAGGAAGAACGCCUGGUGGUUAAUACCCAUCAGGAAAGACAUCACUCACAGAAGAAGCACCGGCUAACUCCGUGCCAGCAGCCGCGGUAAUACGGAGGGUGCGAGCGUUAAUCGGAAUUACUGGGCGUAAAGCGCGCGUAGGUGGCUUGAUAAGCCGGUUGUGAAAGCCCCGGGCUCAACCUGGGAACGGCAUCCGGAACUGUCAAGCUAGAGUGCAGGAGAGGAAGGUAGAAUUCCCGGUGUAGCGGUGAAAUGCGUAGAGAUCGGGAGGAAUACCAGUGGCGAAGGCGGCCUACUGGACUGACACUGACACUGAGGUGCGAAAGCGUGGGUAGCAAACAGGAUUAGAUACCCGUGUAGUC
RNAcentral lists this ribosomal RNA (465 nucleotides) under Vreelandella stevensii. Its description in RNAcentral is "partial 16S ribosomal RNA". It matches the Rfam family "Bacterial small subunit ribosomal RNA", at positions 338 to 795 of the family's 1533-position model. The record is from RNAcentral. Lineage: Bacteria; Pseudomonadati; Pseudomonadota; Gammaproteobacteria; Oceanospirillales; Halomonadaceae.